This 497-nucleotide ribosomal RNA is filed under the name uncultured bacterium. RNAcentral's name for it is "partial 16S ribosomal RNA". It matches the Rfam family "Bacterial small subunit ribosomal RNA", at positions 28 to 507 of the family's 1533-position model. The record is from RNAcentral.
GAUGAACGCUGGCGGCGUGCCUAAUACAUGCAAGUCGAGCGAACAGACGAGGAGCUUGCUCCUCUGACGUUAGCGGCGGACGGGUGAGUAACACGUGGAUAACCUACCUAUAAGACUGGGAUAACUUCGGGAAACCGGAGCUAAUACCGGAUAACAUGUUGAACCGCAUGGUUCAACAGUGAAAGACGGUCUUGCUGACACUUAUAGAUGGAUCCGCGCCGCAUUAGCUAGUUGGUAAGGUAACGGCUUACCAAGGCAACGAUGCGUAGCCGACCUGAGAGGGUGAUCGGCCACACUGGAACUGAGACACGGUCCAGACUCCUACGGGAGGCAGCAGUAGGGAAUCUUCCGCAAUGGGCGAAAGCCUGACGGAGCAACGCCGCGUGAGUGAAGAAGGUCUUCGGAUCGUAAAACUCUGUUAUUAGGGAAGAACAAAUGUGUAAGUAACUAUGCACGUCUUGACGGUACCUAAUCAGAAAGCCACGGCUAACUACGUG